This 254-nucleotide ribosomal RNA is filed under the name uncultured bacterium. Its description in RNAcentral is "partial 16S ribosomal RNA". It matches the Rfam family "Bacterial small subunit ribosomal RNA", at positions 524 to 777 of the family's 1533-position model. The record is from RNAcentral.
UACGUAGGGACCAAGCGUUGUUCGGAUUUACUGGGCGUAAAGGGCUCGUAGGCGGCCAACUAAGUCAGACGUGAAAUCCCUCGGCUUAACCGGGGAACUGCAUCUGAUACUGGAUGGCUUGAGUUCGGGAGAGGGAUGCGGAAUUCCAGGUGUAGCGGUGAAAUGCGUAGAUAUCGGGAGGAACACCAGUGGCGAAGGCGGUUGCCUGGAGCUUUGCUGACGCUGAGGCGCGAAAGCGUGGGGAGCGAGUCCGG